RNAcentral lists this ribosomal RNA (52 nucleotides) under Oxyspirura mansoni. RNAcentral describes it as "partial 28S ribosomal RNA". The record is from RNAcentral. Lineage: Eukaryota; Metazoa; Nematoda; Chromadorea; Rhabditida; Thelaziidae.
UUUUGACCUCAAUUCAAAUGUGAUUACCCGCUGAAUUUAAGCAUAUAACUAA